Molecule: ribosomal RNA, 253 nt
Filed under: uncultured bacterium
Lineage: Bacteria
Description: partial 16S ribosomal RNA
Rfam family: Bacterial small subunit ribosomal RNA
Source: RNAcentral
UACGUAGGGACCGAGCGUUGUCCGGAAUCAUUGGGCGUAAAGAGCGUGUAGGCGGCCCGAUAAGUCCGCUGUGAAAGUCCAGGGCUCAACCCUGGGAUGCCGGUGGAUACUGUCGGGCUCGAGUCCGGAAGAGGAGUGUGGAAUUCCUGGUGUAGCGGUGAAAUGCGCAGAUAUCAGGAGGAACACCAACGGCGAAGGCAGCACUCUGGGACGUGACUGACGCUGAGACGCGAAAGCGUGGGGAGCAAACAGG